RNAcentral lists this ribosomal RNA (252 nucleotides) under uncultured Erysipelotrichaceae bacterium. Its description in RNAcentral is "partial 16S ribosomal RNA". It matches the Rfam family "Bacterial small subunit ribosomal RNA", at positions 524 to 776 of the family's 1533-position model. Lineage: Bacteria; Bacillati; Bacillota; Erysipelotrichia; Erysipelotrichales; Erysipelotrichaceae. The record is from RNAcentral.
UACGGAGGAUGCGAGCGUUAUCCGGAUUUAUUGGGUUUAAAGGGUGCGCAGGCGGCAAGAAAAGCUUAAGGUGAAAGCGUGGGGCUCAACCCCAUAAAGCCUUAGGAACUAGCUUGCUAGAGUGCAGGAGAGGGCGAUGGAAUUCCAUGUGUAGCGGUAAAAUGCGUAGAUAUAUGGAGGAACACCGGCGGCGAAGGCGGCCUGCUGGACCGUAACUGACGUUGAGGCUCGAAAGCGUGGGGAGCAAACAGG